GUCCGAGUUGUAAUUUGUAGAGGAUGCUUUGGGCGCGGCGCCUUCCGAGUUCCCUGGAACGGGACGCCAGAGAGGGUGAGAGCCCCGUACGGUUGGACGCCUAGCCUAUGUAUAGCUCCUUCGACGAGUCGAGUAGUUUGGGAAUGCUGCUCUAAAUGGGAGGUAAAUUUCUUCUAAAGCUAAAUACCGGCCAGAGACCGAUAGCGCACAAGUAGAGUGAUCGAAAGAUGAAAAGCACUUUGAAAAGAGGGUUAAAUAGCACGUGAAAUUGUUGAAAGGGAAGCGUUUGCGACCAGACCUUUUCCGGGGGGAUCAUCCGGUGUUCUCACCGGUGCACUCCCCUCGGUUUAGGCCAGCAUCGGUUUCCKYAGGGGGAUAAAGGCCUGGGGAACGUAGCUCCUUCGGGAGUGUUAUAGCCCCUCGCGUAAUACCCCUCGGGGGACCGAGGACCGCG
Molecule: ribosomal RNA, 454 nt
Filed under: Hypoxylon sp. genotype 402
Lineage: Eukaryota; Fungi; Ascomycota; Sordariomycetes; Xylariales; Hypoxylaceae
Description: eukaryotic LSU rRNA
Rfam family: Eukaryotic large subunit ribosomal RNA
Source: RNAcentral